Molecule: ribosomal RNA, 374 nt
Filed under: uncultured bacterium
Lineage: Bacteria
Description: bacterial SSU rRNA
Rfam family: Bacterial small subunit ribosomal RNA
Source: RNAcentral
GACGAACCGUGCGAACGUUGUUCGGAAUCACUGGGCUUAAAGGGCGCGUAGGCGGCUUGCCAAGUCAGGGGUGAAAUCUUUCGGCUUAACCGGAAAAGUGCCUUUGAUACUGGCGAGCUCGAGUGAGGUAGGGGCAGAUGGAACUGUUGGUGGAGCGGUGAAAUGUGUUGAUAUCAACAGGAACGCCGGUGGCGAAAGCGAUCUGCUGGACCUCUUCUGACGCUGAGGCGCGAAAGCUAGGGGAGCAAACGGGAUUAGAUACCCCGGUAGUCCUAGCCCUAAACGAUGGGUACUGAGUAGUGGACUUACAUGGGUUCACUGCUGAAGCAAAAGUGGUAAGUACCCCGCCUGGGGAGUAUGGUCGCAAGGCUGAA